UUAAAUUGAAGAGUUUGAUCAUGGCUCAGAUUGAACGCUGGCGGCAGGCCUAACACAUGCAAGUCGAGCGGCAGCGGAAAGUA
This 83-nucleotide ribosomal RNA is filed under the name Enterobacter cloacae. RNAcentral describes it as "partial 16S ribosomal RNA". It matches the Rfam family "Bacterial small subunit ribosomal RNA", at positions 1 to 81 of the family's 1533-position model. The record is from RNAcentral. Lineage: Bacteria; Pseudomonadati; Pseudomonadota; Gammaproteobacteria; Enterobacterales; Enterobacteriaceae.